GGAGGCCCUACCCUACUGGAGCCGAAGGUUUCCAGUUACUCUUCUGAACCUUUUUUGUUCUUGAUCUGCCCCCUGCAGCCCCUGCCUGCCCAGAGAGGACUGCCUGGUGGGCAAAGAGAGGACUCCCGGGUUCCUGACAGUCCAGCUUCAGGCACACAUGGCAUUCAGAGAUGUGGCUGUGGAUUUCAGCCAGGAAGAGUGGAUGCUGCUGAGCCCCGCUCAAGAUCCCUGUACAGGGAGGUGAUGCUGGAGAAACUACAGGCAACCUGGUCUCACUGGUGUAAGCCCUGGAAUCUCUAAUGGACUCAUGUCCCUGCUGCGGGGCAUUUUAGGCUGUGCUUGAAGCAGCCAUCUUGCUUUCCUGAGUUGGCCCUUGUGCCCCUAACCUACAGCCACCUUGUUUUUUCUUUUCCUGUGAGCAGGAAUUCCAUUUUCUAAGCCAAAACUUAUCAGCCAGCUGGAGCAAGGGAAGGAAACCUGGAGAGAGGAGAGAACAUGCCCACCAGCCGCCCGUCCAGGUGAGUGGGGAGUGCUAGGCAAACGGAGAGAACAGAGCUGCAGGCAGCUUGGGCGUGGGAGACAGGAGGCAUUGCCCUGGUGCUAGAGAGCAGCUGUUCUCACCUCCCGUGC
This 630-nucleotide long non-coding RNA is filed under the name Zalophus californianus (California sea lion). RNAcentral's name for it is "lncRNA (ENSZCAG00015008468.1)". The record is from RNAcentral. Lineage: Eukaryota; Metazoa; Chordata; Mammalia; Carnivora; Otariidae.